Molecule: long non-coding RNA, 934 nt
Organism: Hipposideros armiger (great roundleaf bat)
Lineage: Eukaryota; Metazoa; Chordata; Mammalia; Chiroptera; Hipposideridae
Exons: 3
Source: RefSeq, a predicted model, not a curated record
AAGUGCUUUGUGUGGUGCUUUGAUUAUGAAAAAGAGGAGAAACCUUAAAGCUUUGCUCCGAUGACAGCAGCGGACUGUUAACAUCCUAUUAAGAUAUAAGGAUUUAGGAAGAUAUGUAAACCCUCACUGUAUCUUCUCAAAAGCAGAGUAAUUAACACUGCGAGACACAGGAGAGAAGAAUAGUAGCCGUAGGAAGAGUUCAUUCUCUUUCUGAUAUAGCUCCCCAGGUGAUCCCACCAUGACCACAAUUGAGAAACACUGGUUUGUAACAUCAGUGGUCCUCGGCAACGAUCUCGCAGAAAGCUUCUUUUGAUGACCAUGACUAAUAUAUUCACAACAUCUGCAAUAUUCUCUCCAGUUGAUAUUACGAACCAUAUGGCAGAUUUAACGCAGUGCCUGCAAGUUGUCUGAAUCCUCCUGUGGAAAAGCGGUUUUGCACACACCUCCUUACGUAUCAUCCUCGGUCUUAUUUCCUUUCCCAGAUAACAGAUCUGUGAGGCUAAAUGAAGCUGGGAGCUAUCACUGCUGUCCUGAACUAGUGACACUGGACUCCUCCCUAGGGAACCAGCUGCAUCUAUUUAAAACACACUUUUAGGUGAAUAUGUGGGACAUCUUUGCUAAAUAGAAGGGCUUUUAGUAGAAUGCAAUCGUGUCUUAACAAUAGAAUAUUGGCUUGAAUGUACAGGACAAAUAGAGGUUUGUGCAGCAUUGUAAAUGAGAGUCUGGAUGACCUAACGCGGAGAUACAGUAACAUUCUUUUCUUCAGCAUCUUACUGUUGUCAGACUAAUAGUAUCCAGGGGGAGAGAACAACUGCGAUAGAGGCUCUAUUUUCCUUCCUUGGUCAUGACUGCUUGUGACCUUGACUAUGUAUAUAUGGGGACACAGCUAUGAAUCUCAUUCUAAAAUAAAUUUCCCUUUAUUAAAUUUUUUGAA